GGCCGCCACGCAUGCGAUAGUGCCACCCCUCGGCCUAUAACUGCGUCCCCCGAAAACCCUAGAUCGAGCUCUUUCAUUCCCCCUUGUUCCCCCUUCGCCCCCUUCCUCUGCUGCUCGAAUUUGAGCUCGAAAGAAACUAUGAUCACCGCUGCCACACCGUCGUUGUCACGGCCACCGACGUCUUCGACGUUCGGGAGCACAUCCAGGAGUUCCACCGUCGCCGGAUUCGUUCGUCCGGGCGACCAGCUCAAGUCGGGACGCCCUCGAGCCAACGUCGUCUUCAUCUUCUUCGUCUGGUCGUCACAACCUCGCCGUUGUUGCGUUUGCUUCGGCGCCUCCCUGACCUCCCCGACCUCACCACCGAACUCAUUGUAGACCCCGAGGCCGCUGCUAAGGCCCUAGUGAUCGACUACGUCACCGACGACCCGUCCAUCUCGUCUGAGCAACCAGUCAAGAAAACCCCCCUUGAGCAUUUCGAUAUCGCCUAUUUCUUUCCCUCUCAUGCUUGCAUUAGAACUGCUACUGCUUUCUGUAUGAUCCUACUAUGAUGCAUAGCCUAUUUUUGUUACCUGCUUUCA
Triticum urartu is the source of this 578-nucleotide non-coding RNA. The record is from RefSeq and is a predicted model, not a curated record. NCBI's taxonomy places the organism in Eukaryota, Viridiplantae, Streptophyta, Magnoliopsida, Poales, Poaceae.